Molecule: long non-coding RNA, 5063 nt
Organism: Poecile atricapillus (Black-capped chickadee)
Lineage: Eukaryota; Metazoa; Chordata; Aves; Passeriformes; Paridae
Exons: 5
Source: RefSeq, a predicted model, not a curated record
GUGAGGGGCGCGGGGGCUACAAGCGCUGUGGGUCUUGCUGCGCGCCUUGGGUCCUGCCGCACUCUUGUGCUUGCUCUGCCCGGAGCUCUCGAGGUGUUGCGCACACGCCGCCUCUGGCGGGUAGGAAGUACCUGUGGUAUCCUCCUGCCUUUUGCUGUAAUGCCAGAUCCACGCCAGAUGCAAGUCUUCAGUACCACUGAUCUGGAAAAUGUUCCUUCUCGUUUCACAAAGACCAGAAAAGACAGAGAUAAAGAAAUGGAAAGUGCUGCAGUCAAAAUACCAAAGACAAAGGCUGUCCAAUUAGGUCAUGUGCAAAACAACCAGAAUUCCAAAAUGUCUCCUGAAUGUUAUUGAGACAUAGAUUACAUUGGGGUGAGUAUAUCUGAGUUUUUGCAUUUAGAUAGUUUCAAAAUAUGCUUGGAAUGCAGAGCUGUAAUGCAUAUAAAAAUUUUCUGUCCAAAUUAGAAUCUUCUUCAUAGGAAUUUCUGUAUGUUACUUGUUGGAAGUACUCUGAUCACUGUCUGAUAGAGGAUAUUUCCAAGAAAAGUGGUAUAGCCAGAUGCUGUGCUGGGUUCACCUGAGCUUCAGAGGCCAGGAAAGGAGAAUCAGCAGUCUGAGCAGGGCCUAACCAUGACCAAGAAGAUGAGGAGCAGUUCACACCUCCUCUGGCCAAGCCCAGUCAGGGUGUGCUGCCUGAGCUUCCUGUUGAGGGUGAUACUCCAGCAAGAGCUGCCUUUCAAAAUUUGGAAAUUCAACCAGCGUGGACAAAAGUAUCAACAUUUAGGUUUGUCUUUAGUUUUCGUGUUUCAGUAGUUCAGAUUUUACUGAAAAUUCAUUGAGAUCUUCAGCACAUGGAAGAUUAGAAUCAGUAAUAUAGUAUCAUAAUGAAGAGUAAUUAAGGUGUUUCCUGGAUACCAGAAGGCGAUCAAGGAAAGCUCUUGUCUUUUUUUCCCCAAGUCUCAUCUGGUGCUAUCAAGAUUAAAUGAAGCGCAACUCAUGGUUAAUGAAGUUUUUAUUACUCUACUACAAAAAAAUUUUGUCUCUUAAAAUUCUUCCCUUUUGCCUUUCAUACACAGUUUCUGUCCAUACUUUGUCUAUUUUAGUGGAGUCAUAUGCCAUAUUUAGCCCAGAAAAACGAUUUUAGAUUUUACUAAUUUCAAAACAUUGUCAAGUAGACACACUAGUGUGUCUUCUCUAUAUAUUGUCAGCCUGAUUCACAUGGCUGUAAGUUCAUCUAAGACUCUUUCCACUACUGCACAGAAAACAAAUGACCUUUCAGGGAAAUACCUGUCAGUGUUUCAAUCAUUGCUGCUGCUUUUCAGUAAGGACUAUUAAAAAUCUCGAACUUUAUUCUCCUAGAAGUACAGAACAACUGCACUUUAGUCAUUUUAGAUGCUGGAAUCUGGUUUAAAAGGGUGAUUUGUAGCAGUAGGUACUACAGUGAUUAAUGAGAUUCCAGUAGCUUUUCCCUAGCUUCCUGUCUAGGGAAAAAAAAAUAACAAACAAAUAAACAAGAAAACCCACCCCAAACCCAUAAUGGCAGAUUAGUUGUGUGCCUUUUGCUGCUUUUUGUAAAAUGUUAAUAGACUCUAAAGGUUUCAUUUUUGAAUGAGAACCAUUUAAGCAAGAAUUUUAGCAGAUGCAGAGGACAUUCAAGGAACUUGUGAAAAUUCCUUAUGUUCUGCUUUAUAAAAAGUCUGUUACACACAUUUGGCACAAGCUGUGAAUCUAACCUGAUUUCCAAGCAGUUAAACGGUCAAAAAAAAAGCCAUUUCUGUAAUACAGUUAUAUUUUCCCUUUUUUUUUUUUUUCAAGUGCAUAUUAAGACAUCUGAAGAAACAAUAUUGUACUCCUUAAUUUUAGAUGUAGGUAGCAGUCACAAGAGAUUAAAUGCUGUUAUGUAUAACAAAGCAUGAAGAUGACAAGAUGCAUGAACAAGAGGCUUUUUAGCUCAAUCACAUCAUCCAGUACAUAAUGAUUCAGAUUUUGUAUUUCAGACACCAAUGUCACCUUGGGGUUGAAAUCACUUUGGUUGAAUCUGUGUAAGUAUAAAUAAGAUAGUUCCCCACACCCCAAUUACCUUCCUGCUUUAAAAAUAGAAAGGAAAAUGAGUCGUCCUGAGUUUAGAGAUGAGUUAUUUGUGUGUGGUAUUUGUGAUGGAAAAUUCUUUCUAAAGUAAUAAAUGGUCUUCUUUUAUCCUCUCAUACUUAAGGGGACAGGCUGCUUCUAGUGACAGUACUAGACUAGACUGAUCCUGGUCUCUUUUAGGGUGUCAGUACAUGACUAAUACAUACAGUACUAUGUCUUAGAGUCAUUAAUUGUAUAAAGCAGAAUAUUUUUCUGUAGUUUUUCUAUUAAAUUUCUUUAAAGCCACAUGCAGAACAUUACUUCCCAUGUUGUAUUUUAGUUCCAGCAACUCUAAUAUGGAUGAUAUGCUGAUGAGCUUUUGAAAUCCUGAAAAACAUGAAUUUGACAGGGAGCCUAGAUAGGACUUUAAAAAAUAUUACAAAUAAUUUAACUACUAUUACAAAAUUUUUAUAAAUGCUGAAUAAAGGAGUCAAUUAAUAAAUGCAUUAGCCUCUAUUAAUUUAGUUUCUUCACUUCAUUACAGAAGGACACUAUUGAUCCAAAAUUUAUUAGCAGUGUUCUGCUAAGGCCAGCGGAGGGCAGGCUUGAAUUGGAAACUCUUAUUAUUACUGCGGUUACUUGAAGUUAAAAUACCAGAUAGUGUCUCAUCACUUCUCUACUAUUCUAGUUACCCUUGUGCUGGAAAAAAGCUUCUUUGCAGUUGCUGUUUGACAAAAUGAGUGUUUUGCAAAUGUUUAAAUAAAGAUGCUAAUAUGAAAGUGAAUAAGUCAGUGCUGUGUGUUACUCAUGAGGGAUAAUUCACAUUGCUUAAUUCUUAACCACAUGUAUCUUGAAAUGUUUUUUAAAAUCUAGUGAAUAUAAUUAUCCCCAUUUUACAGAUGAAGAAACUGAGAAAUAGAGUGGUAACCUUGCAGAUUACCCAUCUGGGUGGCCUACAGAAACAAGAACAAAAUCCACAUUUCUAAGAUGUAAUCCGGUGCUUUGCACACAUAAACUAUUUUAACUCUUGGAAACAUUAUGGAAAUUAUUUCUAGCAGCCCAAAUUGUGGAGUCUGAAGAGCUUAUACUGAUGAAAUAGCAGGCAACCUGAUAGUCAAGUUGUAGAUCUUAAGAAGAAUAUACUUCCCAAGAAGAUGGGUGGCAGUCAGAUCAAAUGCCUAAAGAUCCACUUUAAAGUAGUAUUUUAUUAUUAAAACAAGUACUUUGCAUUUUUAGGCAUAUUUAUUAUUCAUUAAGUUAGGCUGUAGUCUUUCCAGAAACCUUUAUGAUAGCCUGUGUCUGACUCUUGUUAUGUGUAAUGUGUUAUGGCUUCACAUAUUUUUAAGUGCUGUGUGAAGUUUUGUAAGAAUGUAUUAUAAAAGAGGCCACUUUAAGCUUCUUGGUCAUUUCUCCUUGUACCUUGUGGAACUGUACACCUCACAAAGAAUUGUUACCUCCAAAUUGUCAUCACUUUCCAUGAUUCACAGAGGCCUGAAUAUGCAAUUAUCUCAAAAGGGAAAAGAUUCAUUUGCUCUUCUGCAGAACAUAAACUCUCCUUGAAAUAACCACUAAUUGAAGGCAUUUGUAUACAGGCUCAUAGUAAACCACUGGAUGCCUUAGUUCAAGAAGCAGAGAGAAAGAUAAUAAUUCAAUUAACAAAACCUACUGCUUUGAGAAAUGUGGUUUCCAGUGUCAGAGGUAUUUUAUUAAUCCCUAAUUAUACAUUGCUGGAAACUGCUAACCAUUAUUAGGGGCAAAUAAGUCUGAGGUUUGGGGGUAUGGCUGGGUUUGCCUGCUGUAAGCUUCACAGGUUUACACCUCUACCUUCAUAAUGAUAUUUUCUUUCACUGGUCCUAGAUGGUGUAUAUUUUAUUUGUACCCAACUUUCCCUUUUAAUUGUAAAAUAUGUGUGAAAUGUUCACAAUAUUAGUGAUUUAAAAGCAGUUAGGAUAUUACUGCCUCAGAAACACAUCAUUGUUACUUACAGUGGUGUUUGUUGUGCUGAGCCAGCCCAGCUGAGUUACAGAGGGCAGGGUUAACAUUACAGAUAAUGCAAAAUAACUGUAUUAGAGCAGUAGCUGUUGCUAUAGGCAGAUUGGCCAAAAGCCUGUCCCUGUGCUUCUUUACAAGGAAAAUAAGGGGUGGACGGAUGUACUGUCUGAAUAGAGAACAUGAUGUUGUUGUGUGCCUAUGCCAAAAAAAAAAAAAAAAAGAAAUAGUAUCUUAUUGGGAAAGUAAACUUAGUUUUUAUAUUAAAAAAAAAAAUAUUAUACCGCAUAUAAAAUACGUGUUUGAUCGAGAUCAGUUCAUCUGGUUAUGUUCCUUCAGAAGUGAGAGUUUUAAUGACAGGGGAAAGAUACUUUUACAUCUAUGGAACUUAAAGCCUGCUGCUGUCAAGUGGCCAGGACCCUUAACUGAGUGUUGAAGUGUCCUUCUCUUAGUAAAUCAAAAAUGUUUAUACUUACUGUCCCAAGUAGUAGAAGAACACCAGCAAUUGCUUCCAUGUUUAGAAUUCUGUGGAGUCUGCUACCUGUGAGCAGACUCCACUUUAUUAAAUAAAGUCUCUGGAAUUACUGAUUGCUAACCUCAUUCUUGACAUACUUCAGCCUCCAACAGCCUGCUACAACUUCUGUUACACCUUCUGGGAUUCUAUCUAUAGUGACUGCUUUCUCUCCCCAGUUGGCUCCAAGCCAGAAAUAUAUCCAUUUGCACAAAUGCUACUUAACCUUGUUCACACUGAGGGGAGGCGAGGAGAGUCAUAUUUUUCUCUUUCUCCUUCUCUGGUUGGUGGAUACUUUUAAAUAAAUUCACCAUUUGCCAUAUUUGCCGUGUAAAGAACCUGUGGUUACAAUGCCUUUUCUAAACUACUGUUUGUUUCACUUUAAAUGCACUGACUAAAACUAUUUCUCCAUGGUCAUUUCAUGGGCAUCUUACCGUAACAUGGGAGUCCUUAGCAAACACAUUUAACCAAUUUUCUGAUAAGGUUAUAUUCUUCC